AUGGGGCAGAGUCCAGCUUGGCUUGGCCUUCGGGGAGGGACAGAGUUGGCAGGCACAGGCAGAGAGGGGCAGGAAGCUGUUUAUUCCUCGUUCCUGGAACAGGAUCGGAUACCCUCACUGAAGAGAAGAAGCUUGGAGAAACCCAUCCUGUCCUGUUUUGAAGUUCUUCUGAGAUUCUGUGGCAGACACACUGACCUCUGGAUGCUCCUCCUGUUCUUGUACACUCUGGCAUGGACCUACACACAGAGGCUCAGAGACCAUCCAAGCCUGGUAGAGCACAGGAUGCCAUUUCUCAGCCAGGAAGAAGUUUUCUCUUUUACUAACUUAGAAAACUCACAAAGGCCCAUUCAAGGUUCUUAUAGCCACUCUUCUAGAGCUUCUGGCUUCCUCUGGAGAUGCAAUUGGAAUCACAGUAGGCUCCUACUCUGCUCAUCUCCUGCUUCUGGUCUCUGCUUAGCCAAAGAGCGCACGGUCCCUACUUCCAGGAGCAGAGAGAAGACAAUUCAGGUGGAUCAACACAAGCUUUUAUGUGACCUCUAUUUUCCUGGGCCCAGUCCUAAAGAGAGAAUUUUACCAUUCCUACCCUAUAUUUUGACCCUUGUCUAUUUUCCUUCUGAUUUUUGUGAUCUUAUUUUGUUUUGAGUGUUUGAGGUGGUAUCUCACAUUGUUGACCAGGCUGACAUUGAACUCACAGGCUCAAGUGACUGUCUUGCCUCAGCCCCUGAGCAGUUGGUACUACAGGCAGGUGCCUAGCUCUGCGUUUGUUCUGUGACCAGUGAACAGGAGGAUUUGUGUGCUUUCUUCAGGCAGAUGGGGGAGGAGAAAGUACAUAGAAUUACCUGUUUCACCAUAAACUAAGGAGUAGGAAAACGGCAGAGAAAGGAAGAGACAGGAGCAAAGGAAGAGAAUGAGAACCGAGUCCUUAAGUUCCACAAGACAACAACAAAGAAGCCUCUCCAGGUCUAGAAGGCUGUGGGUACCUGGGAAGCACUGAGGAGCUUCCUUUGGAUUUUUAUAGCAAUAUCAACAUCUUGUCCUCUUGUGAACUUUUCAUGAGAAAAACUCUCUAGUUUAUUUUCUUUGUAUAAACACACAAAGAUAGAAUAUAGCCUUUUGCUCUGGUUCUCCUCUCUGGAGGGCUGCAGAAUUUGGAAUGAACCUGGGAAAUGCAAAUAUUAAUUUAAUACCCUUCCUGCCUACCAUGCAAGAUCACACUGGUGAUCACUGGUAUUUCCUGCUCUCUUGUUUUUCCUGAAGACGAUGAACAUGGAUAUUAUGUUUUCCAGCUGCCUAUUGUAGACCGGUUUCCUUCUUCUGACACAGUGAAACGGAAGCCCCAGGCUGACAUAAAGGGACCCCAGAAUCAAUAUAACCUGGACCACUGAGUCACUGCAGGGAGGAAACAUCCUCCAAGAGAUUCUCACACCCACAGCAGACUUUGGGUGACACUCUCAUGAAUCCAUUCAUGUCACUGUUGCAGGAGUGAGCUCUUGAUGCAAAGGAUGGGUCCAGCUGCCCUCCCUAUGCCUGCCUGCCCCUCUUCUAAGUUAGGGUGCCACACAAAGGUCUCUCUAGACAUCACUGCCAUGCUCUUGGACUCUCAAAUAAACAUCUUUUGUUCAUGAUUUACCUGGUGGCAUUCUAUAGCAGCAGAAAGAAGACAAAGACAGUCUCCUUGCCUGGAACACAGAGUGGCCAAAAAUGUUUCUUAAAAAAAAAAAUUCAGCUUUAGGAACAGUUUCAUUUAGUAAAAGCAAACCACAGGUUACCUUCUUAGCAGCAGUCACAGUUAGGGGCCAGCAAGAGCCACACCUACAGCCACAGGGUGGACAGCUGGGGAAGAUGUGCUGUGGGUAUGUUCAAAUGGAUCAGUACAAAUCUCAUCCAUGAUGAGGCUGUGAGAAUUGCAGAUCCAAAGUCUCUGGGAUCCACAGAAGGGAGAGAUUUCAUCCUUUGAAUAUCGACUUGCUCCUGCCCAGCCACUGUAACAUCUCCUAAGGACGACAGCCAGGUAUUUCUCACAAGGGCUAAUGAAUCACUCCAUUUAGCUGUGACAACAGUAAGGCAAAGAAAUAUCUUCAAGGGCCCAGAUGUUAUUUUUGCAGCCCUGUCCCGGGGAUAGAAUGUGCUCAGAAGUUAUGACAAAUUAGCUGCUUGUGGCAAAUCUACAUGAGCCCUUUUGUAAAAAUGGAAGUCUGAGCCUGAGUUAAUGGGUUAUUAUUGGCAAGGGAAACAAAGUUGGGCAGGGAGAGUAGAGCCCGGUGAGGAGGAACUUUGAAGAUCAGCAGAAGAGUUCAGAUUUGGGUCCGGAAGCUGGGGAGCAGCAACUGUUCACAGGGCCUGGGUUGAACAUCCUUUCAUCACAGGCCAUGGCACACUUGAGCAGGCUGCAGUCAUUGUACCUGCAAAGGCUGAGGCCACAGUUGCUGAAUGAUGUAUAGAACAGUGGGAGGGUAGGAAGGAAGGAAGGAAGACAGCAGUAAUUAAAGAGCAAAAUGAAGCCUGGGUGUGAGGUAAACACAAUGCUAUCAUAUGUUUUAGUGGAGAUCAUUUUCGUCCCAUCAAUAUGUUUCCCAGAAGAGUGUAUCCAUUCAUUCCAUGCCACCGUAUUUAAGCUCCAGGGUAACCAAGUGAUGCUGGCAAUGGCUGGGCUGAAUUCUCUGUGCCUUAAGGUCAGAGAGCUUAGGAAGCAGAGCCCUGUCAUGGUGGAAGCAUAGGACCCUGUGUCUAGAUGGUUCUGCUCCCAAGAGCCUCCCUCCAAAGACCUUAAGUCCCAAGUCCCCUGUGCUUAUGUGCGGAGACCCGAGGAGACCAGGUGGCCUCACCACGGAGGAGUCUUCCAGACCCAGGAGGGUAUUGGCCUGCUGUAGUUCUUGGGUGUCACUCUUCUCCCCAUUAAUGAGACUCAGCGGGUUUUUUUUUUCAGUACUAUGGAUUGAACCCAGGGCCUUCACACAGUGUCCUUUUU
This is a long non-coding RNA of Fukomys damarensis (Damara mole-rat), 2968 nucleotides long. RefSeq lists it as uncharacterized. Lineage: Eukaryota; Metazoa; Chordata; Mammalia; Rodentia; Bathyergidae. The transcript is spliced from 3 exons. The record is from RefSeq and is a predicted model, not a curated record.